Molecule: ribosomal RNA, 253 nt
Filed under: uncultured prokaryote
Description: partial 16S ribosomal RNA
Rfam family: Bacterial small subunit ribosomal RNA
Source: RNAcentral
ACGUAGGGGGCAAGCGUUGUCCGGAUUUAUUGGGCGUAAAGCGCGCGUAGGCGGUUUCUUAAGUCUGAUGUGAAAUCUUGCGGCUCAACCGCAAGCGGUCAUUGGAAACUGGGGAACUUGAGUGCAGAAGAGGAGAGUGGAAUUCCACGUGUAGCGGUGAAAUGCGUAGAGAUCAGCAGGAAUACCCGUGGCGAAGGCGACUACCUGGACCAGCACUGACACUGAGGCACGAAAGCGUGGGGAGCAAACAGGA